CCAGUCUGCAUGGAGCCGACCUUGAAAUACCACCCUUUAAUGUUUGAUGUUCUAACGUUGACCCGUGAUCCGGGUUGCGGACAGUGUCUGGUGGGUAGUUUGACUGGGGCGGUCUCCUCCUAAAGAGUAACGGAGGAGCACGAAGGUUGGCUAAUCCUGGUCGGACAUCAGGAGGUUAGUGCAAUGGCAUAAGCCAGCUUGACUGCGAGCGUGACGGCGCGAGCAGGUGCGAAAGCAGGUCAUAGUGAUCCGGUGGUUCUGAAUGGAAGGGCCAUCGCUCAACGGAUAAAAGGUACUCCGGGGAUAACAGGCUGAUACCGCCCAAGAGUUCAUAUCGACGGCGGUGUUUGGCACCUCGAUGUCGGCUCAUCACAUCCUGGGGCUGAAGUAGGUCCCAAGGGUAUGGCUGUUCGCCAUUUAAAGUGGUACGCGAGCUGGGUUUAGAACGUCGUGAGACAGUUCGGUCCCUAUCUGCCGUGGGCGCUGGAGAACUGAGGGGGGCUGCUCCUAGUACGAGAGGACCGGAGUGGACGCAUCACUGGUGUUCGGGUUGUCAUGCCAAUGGCACUGCCCGGUAGCUAAAUGCGGAAGAGAUAAGUGCUGAAAGCAUCUAAGCACGAAACUUGCCCCGAGAUGAGUUCUCCCUGACCCUUUAAGGGUCCUGAAGGAACGUUGAAGACGACGACGUUGAUAGGCCGGGUGUGUAAGCGCAGCGAUGCGUUGAGCUAACCGGUACUAAUGAACCGUGAGGCUUAACCUUACAACGCCGAAGCUGUU
Molecule: ribosomal RNA, 777 nt
Filed under: Escherichia coli
Lineage: Bacteria; Pseudomonadati; Pseudomonadota; Gammaproteobacteria; Enterobacterales; Enterobacteriaceae
Description: bacterial LSU rRNA
Rfam family: Bacterial large subunit ribosomal RNA
Source: RNAcentral